CCUACGGGUGGCAGCAGUGAGGAAUAUUGGUCAAUGGGCGCGAGCCUGAACCAGCCAAGUAGCGUGAAGGAUGACUGCCCUACGGGUUGUAAACUUCUUUUAUAAAGGAAUAAAGUGAGGCACGUGUGCCAUUUUGUAUGUACCAUAUGAAUAAGGAUCGGCUAACUCCGUGCCAGCAGCCGCGGUAAUACGGAGGAUCCGAGCGUUAUCCGGAUUUAUUGGGUUUAAAGGGAGCGUAGGUGGAUUGUUAAGUCAGUUGUGAAAGUUUGCGGCUCAACCGUAAAAUUGCAGUUGAAACUGGCAGUCUUGAGUACAGUAGAGGUGGGCGGAAUUCGUGGUGUAGCGGUGAAAUGCUUAGAUAUCACGAAGAACACCGAUUGCGAAGGCAGCUCAAUGGACUGCAACUGACACUGAGGCUCGAAAGUGUGGGUAUCAAACAGGAUUAGAUACCCGGGUAGUC
This 460-nucleotide ribosomal RNA is filed under the name uncultured bacterium. RNAcentral describes it as "partial 16S ribosomal RNA". It matches the Rfam family "Bacterial small subunit ribosomal RNA", at positions 338 to 795 of the family's 1533-position model. The record is from RNAcentral.